RNAcentral lists this ribosomal RNA (334 nucleotides) under uncultured bacterium. Its description in RNAcentral is "partial 16S ribosomal RNA". It matches the Rfam family "Bacterial small subunit ribosomal RNA", at positions 338 to 669 of the family's 1533-position model. The record is from RNAcentral.
CCUACGGGAGGCAGCAGUGAGGAAUAUUGGUCAAUGGGCGCGAGCCUGAACCAGCCAAGUAGCGUGAAGGAUGACUGCCCUACGGGUUGUAAACUUCUUUUAUAAAGGAAUAAAGUGAGGCACGUGUGCCUUUUUGGAUGUACUUUAUGAAUAAGGAUCGGCUAACUCCGUGCCAGCAGCCGCGGUAAUACGGAGGAUCCGAGCGUUAUCCGGAGUUAUGGGGUUUACAGGGAGCGUAGAUGGGUUGUUAAGUCAGUUGUGAAAGUUUGCGGCUCCACCGUAAAAUUGCAAUUGAUACGGGCAGCCUUGCGUACAGUUGCGGUCGGCGGAAUUC